AUUGAACGCUGGCGGCAUGCCUUACACAUGCAAGUCGAACGGCAGCAUGGAGAGCUUGCUCUCUGAUGGCGAGUGGCGAACGGGUGAGUAAUGCAUCGGAACGUACCGUGUAAUGGGGGAUAACGUAGCGAAAGUUACGCUAAUACCGCAUACGACCUGAGGGUGAAAGCAGGGGAUCGCAAGACCUUGCGUUAUACGAGCGGCCGAUGUCAGAUUAGCUAGUUGGUGAGGUAAAGGCUCACCAAGGCGACGAUCUGUAGCGGGUCUGAGAGGAUGAUCCGCCACACUGGGACUGAGACACGGACCAGACUCCUACGGGAGGCAGCAGUGGGGAAUUUUGGACAAUGGGGGCAACCCUGAUCCAGCCAUGCCGCGUGAGUGAAGAAGGCCUUCGGGUUGUAAAGCUCUUUCGGCCGGGAAGAAAUCGCACAGGCUAAUGCUCUGUGUGGAUGACGGUACCGGCAUAAGAAGCACCGGCUAACUACGUGCCAGCCGCCGCUGUAA
This 504-nucleotide ribosomal RNA is filed under the name uncultured bacterium. RNAcentral's name for it is "partial 16S ribosomal RNA". It matches the Rfam family "Bacterial small subunit ribosomal RNA", at positions 30 to 523 of the family's 1533-position model. The record is from RNAcentral.